GUCCCCAUCGUCUAGAGGCCUAGGACACCGCCCUUUCACGGCGGUAACAGGGGUUCGACUCCCCUUGGGGACGCCA
This 76-nucleotide transfer RNA is filed under the name Legionella sp. Its description in RNAcentral is "tRNA-Glu". It matches the Rfam family "tRNA". From Rfam's summary of the family: Transfer RNA (tRNA) molecules are approximately 80 nucleotides in length. Their secondary structure includes four short double-helical elements and three loops (D, anti-codon, and T loops). Further hydrogen bonds mediate the characteristic L-shaped molecular structure. tRNAs have two regions of fundamental functional importance: the anti-codon, which is responsible for specific mRNA codon recognition, and the 3' end, to which the tRNAs corresponding amino acid is attached (by aminoacyl-tRNA synthetases). tRNAs cope with the degeneracy of the genetic code in two manners: having more than one tRNA (with a specific anti-codon) for a particular amino acid; and 'wobble' base-pairing, i.e. permitting non-standard base-pairing at the 3rd anti-codon position. RNAcentral also lists the same sequence under 34 other names. Lineage: Bacteria; Pseudomonadati; Pseudomonadota; Gammaproteobacteria; Legionellales; Legionellaceae. The record is from RNAcentral.